This 250-nucleotide ribosomal RNA is filed under the name uncultured prokaryote. RNAcentral describes it as "partial 16S rRNA". It matches the Rfam family "Bacterial small subunit ribosomal RNA", at positions 525 to 775 of the family's 1533-position model. The record is from RNAcentral.
ACGUAGGUAGCGAGCGUUAUCCGGAAUUAUUGGGCGUAAAGGGUGCGUAGGCGGCUUGUUAAGUUUAAGGUGAAAGAGUGGGGCUCAACCCCAUAGAGCCUUAGAUACUGGCAAGCUAGAGUACUGGAGAGGGUAGUGGAAUUCCAUGUGUAGCGGUAAAAUGCGUAGAUAUAUGGAGGAACACCGGUGGCGAAGGCGGCUACCUAGACAGAGACUGACGCUGAUGCACGAAAGCGUGGGGAGCAAAUAG